Molecule: ribosomal RNA, 337 nt
Filed under: Septifer bilocularis
Lineage: Eukaryota; Metazoa; Mollusca; Bivalvia; Mytilida; Mytilidae
Description: partial 28S ribosomal RNA
Source: RNAcentral
AGAGUACGUGAAACCGCUUAGAGGUAAACGGGUGGAUCCGCAAAGUCGGCCCGGGGAAUUCAACUUGUCGUUGUCGGGCGGCGGGCGUCUGGUUCUAGGGAUCCGUAAAGACCCACCAGGCGUUCGGCCGUCGUCGACGAGUGCACUUUCCUCGGGUAGAGCGCCACGACCGGUUUCGGACGGCGGUCACAAGCCGGACGGGAAGGUGACCUGACAUCCUCGUGGUGGCCAGGUGUUAUAGCCCGUCUAGUGUCGACUCGUCCCGAGACCGAGGAUUUGCCGCACCUCGACUGCUCUCGGCUCUCUGCGUGCGUUCGACUGGGGAAGCCACUGCUUG